AGCCUGUUUGAGGCUGCAUUUUUACAACAUCAAGAAUUAGGUUUACAUUUUAUGAGGAUAAAGACUGAUGUUGCUGUUUAGCUUGGCAGAUGUAGUUCAUGAUCACUAUAGCCUCCCUGUCAUCAUGUGUACUUUGUCCCUUGGCUUUUUAGUCGCACAUACUCAAUCCUCCACCUGCUCCUCUCCCUGCUCUCCUCUCUCCAUCUACUGCAGCAAAGAUCUCCGGGAAGAGUAGGCAGACUAAGGCAAAUUAGAUAAAAGGCCCAUUUAAGCUGGUAAAACUUCAAUAUAACCAUAAUUUAUAAAUGGUAAAUAGAUAGUUUAUUAAUGUUUAAUUAUCAUUUAAAAACAGCAUAUAGACCAAUUAUAAAUGGCAAAUAGUUUAUUAAUGUAAGUUAAUAGUUACUUUACCAUUAACAAGCAAUGAAAUUGAAAUGAAAUAAUAAUUUUCAUUAAUUAUAAAUGGACUGUUUAUUAAGGGUUAAUACAGGGUUUAAAUAUUGGUUGUAAAACAUCUAGAACUAAAUGUGUGUCAGGAGCACUUUGUAAAUGUUUAAUAUUUGUUUUUUAAACCAUCUAUAAACAUUAGGGUUAGGUUUUAAAAAUUGUAAAAUUUACAAUUUAUUAAUGGUCUAUAUGCUAUUUAUAGAUGAUAAUUAAACUUAAUUAAACUAUCUGCUUACCAUUAAUAAAUGGUCUCUUUAUCAUUUAUAAGUUACGGCUAUUGUUAAGUGUUACCUUUAAACAUUUAGCAAUCAGAUACAUGAUUGGCUAAGCAGUCAGCUGAUAUGAGCUGGCGUUAUGGGCAGAUGUUCUCGAGGCUGAGCUUGCCUUUUUCGCCUGCCUGAACUAACACUAUGCUCAAUUUGUACAUUGAAAUUAAUUGCUGUUGCUCUCCUACAUGUAAAUUACUAUUAUUUAUUCUCAAACAACUAAUGAAACUUUGCAAAUGUUCUCCUCAUGAAAGGAUUUAUUUGUUUUUUGAUAAUUUUAUUGAUUUGUGCCAAAUUGAUAGUUUUGGUGUUGUUUAAACAGUGAGGAGCUGGCAAAACUCUGAAAACAUUCAUCUUAAAAAUGAAGCGUAUUGCCUGUAAUCAUCUCUGCAUAAACACAAAUCCGUCUGUUAAAUUUAUUCCUCCAGCUGCUUGUCUUUGAGCAAACAGGAUGUGAGUGGGGACAGAACAAAGACGGCGCUUCUUCAGAAGUAAAAACCAUUGAGCAGCAGAUUCUCUGAAAGAAAGUGGAGGCUGAAAAUGAAACACCUGACAGGCUGACGGUGUUUUUUUUAGCAGCCUACUUAUGUAUUAACAGUCAGUUAAGUGGCAUCUAAAAAUAACCUGUUAAUGAUUUAUGGAUAUUCAUCAAGUAAAAGGUGCAACCCUCUUUUGAGCACCUUCAAUAACUUGAUAGAUCUUUACAGCGUGAAAGAACAUCCUGCAUAUGCAUUUUUCACAGGCAGGGUGGUUUACAUGUCGAGUGCUUCAAAACGAUGCACCUGCACCUUCCUCCUUCCCAUUAAUCCAUGUCCCUCGAACACUGGAUUUAUGACCUCUACUGUCCAUAAACAGGACUAACAGUGGUAGCAGAGAGGCAGGUCAAUGCGAGGCAGAGUGUAACAGCUGUCAGAGGAGCACUCUCUCAUCUCCUCUGUCCAUCACAUUAAAUAGACAGAGCUUUGCAGAGGAUGGCGGGGCAGAAAGGGUGUCUGGUGGGAGUAAAAUAAUGGAGAGGAAGAGCGGAGUGCAGAGGUAUGAGAGCUAGAAUAAAGGAAAUGUCAAGAACUCAACUGGUUCCCAUUAUGUGAGAGACACAAUGACCCUCUUACCUAAUUGCUCCUUUUUACACGAGCAUUUUCUACAGAGCGUCACCUUCACAUGCACACCUUUCAUAGGACGUCUGUGAGAUAGCUUUAUGUGGUUUUCAGCACAAAAUAUCCUGCUUUAUCUCACACUGGUGUCCAUGGAAACCCUCAUUUCAGCUCUUUUCAGUUUUCAGCAUUUUGAAAAGCUUCAUUUUGGCUGAUUUCCUGCUGAUAUACAAUUAGUUCAGGGGUGCUACUUUUUACACAUCUAAGGCCGACACAAAAGUGAACCAGGAAUUCAGAGAUAGAGCAACCACAGAAACAACUGGACCCAGGUUAAGGGCUCUUGAAGUGGUGCCAAUCAAAUCAAUGAGGCUGUGUGCACCUUUGGACGAUAAUAUGGACCCAACCUGAGACAGCAUUUGAGGUUCUCUAACUGUAAACUUAACCCUCUUUCUUUGGGUCCAAACACAGGUACUUAGGUUUGUUCCUCUUCUUCAGGUCCUCCUACUCCUCCUCCUGCCGACUGCGCACCUGAGAGCAAUUUGCGCUCAGAUAGGAGGAGGGGAUUUAGAGGUUCAGGGAAGAGCAGUCGGGAGAGCAGGCAGGCACACCGGCCCACACACACACACCUUUUGCAGUGUGGUAAGGAGUUUGCGCUCCAUCUAACUUUUGUUUUCUCCCCCGCAGGUUUGAUUGUUUGUUUGUUCAACCGGUAUGUUUAAUUGCUGGUUUUGUUGCGUUAGUUUGUUGUUUUAGUUUGGGCUGGAGACCACGGUAGUCCAGUUUCCAUUGUUUAGUUAAAUUAGUUUCCAGAGUUAAUAAGUAAGGUCCAUUAAGCAGCCCGGUCAGCACCUUUCCCUUUUUGCUCCUUUUGGCCGGGGUCUCCAGCUUUUUUUGUUUGACAGUUUUUCUCCGAUCACAGUUUUGUGUCUGUUCAGUUGCUUAUGUUAUGGUCCCUUUUACGAGCCUUUCCGUAUUAAGAGAUUAAGAAGGCCGUCACAAGGUUACUAUGGUUACAAACUUUUUCACUUUGUUGACUAGGGGUGUAAAUCCUUAAAAAGAAAAAUCUAAAUUUGAUUGACUAUCUAUUGUUGGAGGUCAGAAUACUAUCAGAAAUUUAUUUUAAAUUUAAGCAGAUAAAUAACCAGGUCCGUUGAUUUACAUGGGGUGCUUAUUUCAGCCCAAUGUGGAUCAAAAAAGGCAGUUAAGCCAAAUCUUAUGGUUUUCAUACUCAGUAAAAUAUGAUUGAUAUUAUGCGGUUUGAUAUUAUGUGAUCAUUCAGGACUGCAUAUCUGACGUGGAGGGAUGCCUUUCUCCACCUUUACUGAAACUUAAAAUCCCACCAAACAACGUCAACGUCUGCCAAAGUCUGUGACAAGACAGUGAAGAACACAUAAUCCUGUUUUCAGUCAAAAUACCCCCUCCAAAAAACCAAGUCCAUGAACCAUUUCCUGGUGGGUCUGGAAGACUUUAUCUUGCCUGCACAGAGCCGUGGCCUCAAACCUGUCCAACAUCUUUGGAGCAUCAACUGCAAAGCCAGACCUUGGCAUCUGAUCGGCAGUGUUGGACUCCAGUCUUGCUCUUGUGCCUGAAUGAGAACAAAUUCCUGCAGCCAGCCUCCAAAAUGUGGUGAAAAGAUGUCCCUGAAGAGAGAUGGCUGUUUGAGCAUCUGUCGCAGUUUGCUUCCUUAUUCCCCUGACUCCCUCUUUGCCAUUUUACUUCUAACCUCCAGAUGUCUUCACCCUUUUCCCCCAUUGCCCUUCAACCCUUUUACUCAUCUCUACACCUGUUCGCAUGUCAGUCGAUGAAACUUUUGAUGUCACUCAUUUCCAGCUCUGAAGCCUCCUUUACCCUGUUAUAUUCGUCCACUAUACCAGCCUGUGUGUUUGCCCAAUGCCGUCUAUACCUCCAUUGAAGCAAUUCACCUUGUGGCUCGAAUUCCUAUUCUGAUGGCAUCAAAAUAAUAAUCCUAGUGAUACUUUUAGCAAUCUCUUAUUGGAUUCAGAUGUAGACAGACAUAUAUAGUGAAAAAAACAUGUCAGUAGUUAAGGCUGACAUUGCUGUUGUAUCCAAAGAACUUGCAGAAAGGGGUCGGACACAUUUAUUAUGUCAAUGAUUUCACUUCAAAAGGGUUUGCUUCAGAGAGCGUCAGUAGUUAACACAGUGUAAAUAUUUCAGUAGUUAAGGCUGACAUUGCUGUUGUAUCCAAAGAACUUGCAGAAAGGGGUCGGACACAUUUAUUAUGUCAAUGAUUUCACUUCAAAAGGGUUUGCUUCAGAGAGCGUCAGUAGUUAACACAGUGUAAAUAUUCCAAUAAUCUCAGUUUAUAUGGAGAUCACAAAACAGGAAGAGACAUCAAACAAAUAGAAGAAAACAGAAACGAAACGACCACAAUCUUUAACGGUAUGGGCUUUUACACUCUUAUGGGCGCUCACACCGCGUGAGUAAAAUCAUUUACUCGAUUAAUUCGUGCAAAUGUAGACGUGUGAAUGAAUUGUAUUUACUCGCUUCAUUCGUGCGCCAACAGUGAUUUCAACAGUAAUUCCUGCCAAUUCAACCGGUGGGAUCAAGUGAUAGACAAAGGUUUUUUUUACAGUUUACCAGGUAAUCCUCACUCACUUGUCUCCCAGCGAGCUCCUUUCUACUCCAGCUUUGGUAACUGAAAGGAAAGGUGUCAUAUAAUCCAGGGCACCCACACACCGACAUGAUCAGUUUUAGAUUACAGAUACCAGUGAACAACCGUCCGUUUUCAUACAUCACCCGGCAACGUUUGUGCUGAUUAGUUAUUGCAACGCGAAUAUCCACUCAAGUUGAGACAAUUUCAGCUCCCACCCAAUUUGCAAAGAUCUGGUUUCAAUAUGCAUGCUCAGUAAGAGUCACAUCUUCACCUCAGUGGGUGAUGGUGCUUCUGGGAAAUGCUGUUCUCAUCCCAGUGUGUUAAAUCUGUAUUUGCGAGACGGGUGUUGAAGCUUUCUAUUCAAAGUACAGAUGGAAAAGUGGCUUUAAUGUUUAAUGCACUUUUUUUCUUCUCAUGCAUUAUAAUGUUAGCAAAAUAGACAUAUCUUACAGCAGCUGCAAACUUUAUUUAUGAAACCGGUCCCAGAUAUUACAGAAACUUUGUAAAUGCUAUCAUAUUUGCACCAGUAAACUGCAGAAUUGCCUUUUUUUUCCACAACAGGUCAUUUCUUGGUCAACAAGUUCCUCAAAAACCUGCCCACAUCAACACAUCAGACAUUGUAAAACCAUUUGAUUGGCCAUAUCAGUGCACCAGGCCUCUUCUAACAAGAAGAGCACUUCCACAAACAUUUUGAAUUAUAGAUGAGUGUGAAAUGGAAAAAUGCAAUCCCCAGAGUAACUAUAUGAAAAGUAGCCACAGAAGGAUGCAGCAGCAUUAAGUCCAGCUCUUGGAAAAAUCAUUUCAGGCACACAUAAUGGAACACGGGCCAAAUGGAAAUCCAGAGUUUUCUUGGCCUGAUUCACACAUGAAGAUGUUGCUCUGACAGGCAGUAAAAAGAGAAUAUGGAGUUAAGUAAGAAGUUAGAAAGCAAAGGGAGAUCAAAAAGGAUUUCUCUGUCUGUAUUCAGGAUCUGGGUCCUUUUGAAGUCUGGAUAAAUAAGUCAGAACGGGUCAAGAAGCCGUAUCUGUUUGACAGGAUCUAUGAAAUGUGGAAGAAAUAAAGCCCCUUGCUGUCUGAACCUGAUGAUGCAAGUGAUGCUUCCUCUGCCGUCCGUGUUUUACUAAAAGCUCUGUCUGUAAUUUAAGCAAUUAUGUUUUAAUUAAAGAAUUGAGACUUUUGAAUUUCCCUUUGGUGAUCAAUAAAGUUCUUUUUUAAAAUGGAAAUGAGUGAAAGAGAGGGACAGAAAUGUUCGACCUCAAUACAUGGACCUUGAUCACUUUUACUUUUGUUUUGUGGAGGGCACAGAUUUUUAUCCUCCAGGAGAAGAUGGGGCGGCAGUAGCUCAGGAGGUAGAGCGGUCGUCCAAUGACUGGAAGGUUGGCGGUUCGAUUCCCCCCUAAUCCAAGUCUGUCCGUUGUGUCCUUGGGCAAGACACUUAACCCACCUUGCUCCAUGUGUGUCCUCCACUGGUGUAUGAUUGUGAGUGUUGUGUGGUGGUGGUCGGAAAGGCCGUAGGUGCAGAAUGGCAGCCACGUUUCCACCACCACCAAAGUGUGACUGUGUGAGCGAAUGAAUGAUAUAUCCAAUGUAAAGCGCUUUGAGGGUCUCUGAUAAAGCGCUUUAUGAAAUCUGAUGCAUUAUUAUUAUUAUUAUAAGAUGGAUUGGAAUCACUGCCUUCAUUAGACAGUAUUUCCUUAGCUCUGUGAGGUGAAACAGCUGCAUAUUCUUGGGUGACUAUAUUCUAAAUCUACCAAAAGAGGACACGACUACACGGCUUUGCGUGCAGUGUUCGAGUGUUUUUUACACGCUUCUAACUCAGUAAGUCUCCGUGACACAAACUAAAAACUUCCGUACAAGACCCCAGACAUUUGAAGGAUUUAUAAACUCCCCCGGACAUAGCCGGACAAGGCUGGACAGCCUCCCAAAAAGAGGACAUGUCUGGGUAAAAGAGGACGCAUGGUCACCCUAGCAUAUUCAAUCUUAGUAAUGCCACUUAAACAUCAUAAAACUCCCCAAGACCCCACAUACCAACAUGAAUGAGACAAAGGAACCAAGUAUACCAAACAACUUAAAAUAACAGACUCAUGAGAGAAAAGUGGUACAGUUAUCCUCCGAACAAAGUUCAAAACAAAGAGCUGAACUCCUGCAGACAAAUUCAUCAGAUGCACAACUGAUUACCAAAUGUAGAGAGCUUACCAACACCUGAAAAAACCGACAACAUUACGUUGGUUCAUGCCAGGCGUGAAUAAAAUGUUCCUGUAAGUGAAUUAGACACAAGCUCUUGUAGGGCGACAUGAAUGAGGUGGCACAGUUAACAAAUCUGUGACGUGUUCAAUGUGCUACUCGCUUGUUUGCAAAAUUCGAAAAUGUCUGAACUUAAGCAAAUUGUUUGCACCUCAAUAGCCAAUUGGUCAUGUAUGUCAACAAGGCAGGCAGAGGUUCCUACAUCUAAAAAAUAGAGGAAAAACUACUUCAGCUAUGUGAUAAAACUUUUUAAAAAGUUUCACAAAAUGGCAGGAUGAGGCCCCAUCUUUUUUUUGAGAAAUAAGGUCAAAUCCUUACCGCCUUUUAAUGACAACAAACUUUUCCGGUUACUUUGUAUUCCACACAUUGAAAAUCCCACCAGAACUCCUUUUCAAAGUUAUGACACCUUUAGCUUUGGUGCCUUAGAGAUGACAUUGAUUCACUUCACACGGAAAACAGGUCGAUCCUGCUUAGAAGUGAGGCGCAGCUCACAAAGACGCCUACAGCUUACAACUCCCACCCUUUCUUUAGUCAAAACCGAGCUCAUAUCCUGAACAAACGAUGAGAAAUAACAUCGGUGCUUUACCUUGGAUCACAAAACAGAAGACAGGUGAGCUAUUUGAGGCCUUUCACAGCUCAGUGGUCAUUGAUAAGAAGCAAAAGGACACCUGUGAGGAGGCUGAAAGAAAGAAGAAAAGAUCUGGAGUGACGGUAAAAGCAGGGAAAUGCAGCAAAGUCCCUGAGACAGAUGGCGAGGAGCGCUUGAGAGGAUUUUCCCCCAUUAUGAAAACACCACAAAGCUUGAAACUCCAGCUGUGAGCGGCACAAAGCGUACCAGCAGCAACCACCAAGAGGCAGCAGCCUGCCAACAAACAGCCUCUAAUGAAUGGAGGAGCUCGCAUCAGAGGCUCUGGGACUGUGGAUGGAGCAGCACGGCUUUCUGCAGGUGCAUAAAAGCGGCUGGCACACGCCUGUCUGCAUUACCAAACGGUCACGGUGCAUUUCUGUGUGAUCCUCAGAUUAGAUAAGAUUCAGAGGCUGAUCACCGGUGACGUGUGUGAAAUGGAGAGAGUGGAUUUUAACAGAUUUGUCUGGAGGCUGUGGUGAAAAUGAGGGGAAAGAAACUGACAUCACCCCAGUAGCUGGUUGUGUCUUUAUCAACAUGCAUUCACAAAAGUUGAUGAACGAAAAUGAGAAAGAGGCAUGGAGCCAGAAAGGAGUUAGGGUGCAGUUGGUGCAGCCGAGUGACAAAAUAAUCUGUGAUUAAUUUAUGCCUCAAAAAAACUGAGUAGAUAGAUUUCUAUAGGUUUUUAAAUCAGUUUAGUGUGAAGAUAAACUGAGAAAGGAAAAUUUACUAAAUUUUGAAAGAGAGAAAAAAAGGAGGAGAAAUUCCCUCGACUAUCAUCUGUAACAUUUUGUUCAGAGUAUGUUCAAUUUCACAGCAGGUUCCUGUUCCUCGACUACAAAUACUGUUUACCUGUCAUGUCAAUAUGGCCUCUCUUUCCAACUGGAGCUGACCGGUCAAGCUGCGUUUCUGUGUGAGCGAGAGAGUGAGUGUGUGUGUGUGUGUGUGUGUUCAUCCUGUAAAGCAUGUGUGUGUCCAUCGUACCUCAUUUAGCAUUGAGAGGCAGUCGUGUAUUCAACGACCGAGCCAAUUUCAGAUUCCAUUUUGGCUCAAAUUAAUCCAGGAGCAGGAGAGUCCCAUACUGAACUGAGUACUCAGAUUGCGCUGGAUUUUGAAGGAUUAGCCUCUCUGCUCAUGAUUUUCUCUACCUGAGAGCAGCUCAACCAGGAGAAAGCUGAAGACACUCUAUAAUAAUGGCCAUGAUUUUUACAAGAGAUGAGACGGGAGGCACGUCUUUAUCCAUCUGUAUUUUCAGAAAAUAUGUUCAGCUUUAACCUGUCUUUGUACUUAAAGUCAUAUUAUAAGUUUUACUUAACCAGUUUGUGCUUUAUUCUCGAACAAUUCAGAGUUUGUCAGCAGUUAUUUUAGUAUAAGUUAAUAAUUGAAUAAAGUACAAUUUCUCACUCUGAAUCCCUUUCAUGCAUGGAUCUACAUCACAAAUAUUAUAUUUUAUCCCACUUGUUCUAGGGUGCUCAAAGACUUCUGUGACGAUAAAAUUGUGACGAUGAAAACAUUUUAACCUCCAAAAACAUACAUAUCUUGCAUAUCUGUUAGCUUUCAGGCGCUGCUCUCCCGAAUUCUCCCAAAUUUUAAUGAAAAUUUUGGCCAGUUUCAGCACAAGUACAUGUGCUACCAAGAGCUUAUAACUAUCUAUCCAUUGUCUGUAUCACUUAUCCCCUCAGGGUUGCAGGGAGGUGAGGGUACAGCCUAGACAGGCCAGCCAGUCCUUAAACUGCAGUUCCCAGAAUGGCAACUUGAGGCUGGCUGAUGAAGCACCCAAAACCCGGCAAAAAGGCCGUUUCGGAGCAAAAAUAAACACGUUCACAGCCUGGUUCAAAAAGGUUUCAGUCUGAGUAGCUCUCAUGGCACCCACUCUACAGGGAGUGAGAAUAAAGGCGGGUGAUGUGAAUGACUCAGACUUGUUUGAACUGGUUCUUGAUUACCAUCUUUAGUACUAUCCAAUUACAAUGAAUUUUCCAGAUACAAAUACUCUGUGGGUUUGUUUUGUUGUUAUUUACGAAUUCUAAAAGCAGAAUUCAAUAUAAAUUUUGCUUACAUACGUCUUGGAAAUUCUCUUAAUGUCUCCACACACCAAGUGUGAGUAAAAUCAUUAAUGUGGAUGAUUUACAUGUUAAGUCAAUGCAAAGACGCGAUUAGAUGCUCCUACUACUCUGGCUGCUCAAAUGAAAAUGCGGGAAUUGGGCGUGAUAUUCUGCGGUUGAAUUGGCAGAGAUUACUGUUGAAAUUACAAUUGACAUGCGAAUGAAGCGAGUAAAUACUAUUCAUUCACACGUCUAGAUUUGUGCAAAUUAAGUGAGUAGAUGAUUUUACUCGCGCUUGGUGUGAGCGCCCCAGUGGGUUUGCUAGUUUGCGCCAUCUCUCCUGCAUUUGUUUGGUAGAUAUUCUCAUCUUUAUUUUUUUUCACAUUUUUGCAGCAUUUGCGCAUUUGUCAUACCUCUCUGAAGCGUCAUCUCGCGCUUGCAGCUCAGGUUUAUUCUUGUAUUUGUUUUCGAUCUCCUUGUAUGUUUCAAAAUCUGCUCGCUGUCUCAAGCUGCAGCUGGUUCCUCUUGUGAUUUGGCAUGUUUGCCCUUGUGGGUAUCCAUAUUCAGAACCUCUUUAAACUUUGGUUUUGCCCUGGUACUUGGUGGAUAAAUACACAGAGAGCUCAGAGGAUUUGGUAAAUAACACAAAGGAGCAAAUUGUGCAGUUGAAGGUUUCUGAUGAAAAGACCCCAUGGAGAUCUGGAUUUGAAUCUGUUUGUAGACACUGAAGGUCCUGUAUUAUUCCUGUUGUAUAAUUUUCUUUUACAUACACAUUGAUUAAACCAGCAUACUCAGUGUUGUGAGGGCUUUUAUCUCAGUACUACCUCCAUUUCUGAAAGUGGAACAGCACGGGAAUCUUCAAGAUUUAAGCUACAGCACCACAAAAACAGAAGAUGCUUGACAAGAGGUAUAAUGUGUGUACACAGUGAUUGUCCUGCAGAUGUGGGUAAAUUCAUAAACAGCAGGCCACACAGACAUCAUGAAACAUUUGCUCACAAACUCAGAUAGGUUUUUGUUUCUGAUGCAACUUCCUCCAACUCUGAGUCAGAAUCAGGCGAAGCUUUCCAUCACAGACUCAGAGAUCUGAUCUGAGGCCGCUCCAAUUAUAAAGGACACUUCAGGGUGCAGGGAGCCAGAAGAGCUUUGGUUAUCUCACAGCUGAAGCACACAGUUUGAUGAAGUGGGUUUUUCUCAGUUUCGCAAUGCUCUUUAUGGCAGCUUGUUUAGGCCACAGAUUUGUAGGCAUAAAUAUUGUAAAGAGUAGACUUAGAGUUAAUCAUGAGUGACUAUAAGAGCAGAACUGCAUUUGAAAAGUUUUUAAUUUACGAACAGCUUAAUGUUUUACAGAUGUUUAUUCAAAAGUCUGAUUUAAAUUAGUAGCUGUGAAAGUAAUAUUGCCAUUACUACAAAUCAUCCGCCAACAUGGUCUGAAGUUCCAUCUGUAUGCAGAUGACACUCAGCUCUAUCUCGGCAUAAAACCAUUCACCCGGUGUCCAUAACAUAAAGACCUGGAUGACACACACUAUCCUCAAAGUUGUGCCCCCUAGGUUCUGCUCAGGAAAGUUGGAUAUGUUGUUUUCGAAGUAGAUAGGUGCACCAUCCACCCAUCCUCGAAGGUCAGCAGCCUGGGUGUUAUCAUGGACUUCACCCUUCUCCUCUUUCUCUCACAUCAACUCAUCGCUAAAUCCACCUUCUUUUAUCUGAUUACUGCUAUGAUUACUGCAGUGGAGUCCUGUCCGAGGUACCCAGUAAAUCCAUGGACAGGCUCUAGUAAUCUUACCUGCACCAAGCCUUGGCAGCACAACACCCCAACACUCAUCCACCAAUAAAAUCUUGUAUCAUACACAAAAUACUACCCCUCACCUACAAAUCCAGUAUGGACGGAGAGAAAAGUUUCGCUAACUGCAUAUGUGACUACUCAUGGUAGUUUUUGUUGGCAUUGGUGUUGCCCAUUUGUUGAUAUGUAUGCUACUAGUUUGUUUAGGUCUGCUUGGUACUGUUAGGUUUAAACAAAUGUUUAGAAAGCGUGAGGAAGAUCAAAUACAUCCUUUCUCGCCACUUCAUGUUGGGCAUAGGGAAAACUGUCCACUAUUAGUGCUGCUCAAGAAGACACUCCAUAUGCAUGCAAACAAAAUUCUCCUGUGGUCUUUUCAACGUGACAAGGCCCUUUAAUCUUGACAGUUCAUGAAUAAUAAGCCGUGUAUAAGUACGUUCCCUGUAAGUUUGAUCAGUGUGCGGUCUUUCCUGUGGAGAUCUUUCUAAGGCACUGCAGUGUGAAACAAAUGAACAUACAGACAUGACUUCAUACAGUGCGAUCGGCAGUGAUAGAUUCAUGCAUGAACACGCACAUGCUUGCAAACAAGAUGGCAGGUGACUGAGCAGUGAGCAGUGAGGCAAGAGGACACAUGCACAGAAACACUCCUUUUUACCACCUCCACCACAAACACCACCAACGCUUUAGUCGUUCUUGACAUUUUUUCAUUUUCCCACCGGCUAGCGCCCUGUUCAAGCCCCACAGAUUACAACGUCAUCCUCCAACACCUCUGCUAUCUGGCUUUUGAUUUUGCAUUUUGCUCACGUAACAACGCACCGCUGUAAUGUCUGUGGGAAAAAAAAGGCACUAAGGAAUCACACCGGUAUGACUGAUGGAGUUUAAGGUCAGGUGGGUCUGGAGUGGACCUGCCUGCUGUCCGCCCUGCUGGGAGACACUCUAUUAAGUGGUUGCCCUGUUUCCACAGAAAAGGAAAUCUUAUUCCAGGGGUCACAUGUUAUAAACAUAAUGUUAGCAAAAAAAAAUGCUCCUGAGACAUUAUGGUGUAUAACCCUUUGGCUCAUUAUUAAAUUCUGUUUGUGAAAGGUUUAGGUGGGUGCCUAUCAUUACUGGAGGGAGGUGAUUUAGACAGCUUCAACUAUCUUAUGGAUUUAAAACUUCUGAUUGACUUUCCAGACACUUAGAAUAAAACUUAAGUGAUUUAACAUAUUUUAAUAACAUCUAAAUUCCUGUUUCCAAAUAGUGAAACCACUCUCUUGGUUUGAAUUGUAUUGGCAGUGAAUCCCCGACUUUCCUAUGACAUGCACUAAUGGUGUAUUUUACCUUAAUUUAAUUUGCACAGUUUUCUCUGUUGUCUCCAUGAUUUCCCUCAUUCCUCAGUCCAAAAACAAAUUCAAACAUGUAAAAUUACAUGC
This is a non-coding RNA of Xyrichtys novacula (pearly razorfish), 12518 nucleotides long. Lineage: Eukaryota; Metazoa; Chordata; Actinopteri; Labriformes; Labridae. The record is from the annotation of a GenBank genome assembly.